AGCGGCAAACGGGUGAGUAACACAUGGGAAACCUCCCUCAGAAUGGGGAACAUCUCCGAGAAAUCGGAGCUAAUACCGCAUAAGACCACAGUUCGGCAUCGAACAGGGGUAAAAGCAGCAAUGCGUUUUGAGAUGGUCCUGUGUCCUAUCAGCUAGUUGGUGGGGUAACGGCCUACCAAGGCUAUGACGGGUAUCCGGCCUGAAAGGGUGAACGGACACACUGGAACUGAGACACGGUCCAGACUCCUACGGGAGGCAGCAGUGGGGAAUUUUGGACAAUGGGCGCAAGCCUGAUCCAGCGACGCCGCGUGGAGGACGAAGGCCUUCGGGUUGUAAACUCCUUUUGGAGGGGAAGAAUAAAUUGACGGUACCCUCAGAAAAAGCCACGGCUAACUACGUGCCAGCAGCCGCGGUAAUACGUAGGUGGCGAGCGUUACUCGGAAUUACUAGGCGUAAAGCGUAUGUAGGUGGUUAGAUAAGUCUAUGGUGAAAUUUCCUGGCUUAACUGGGAAGGGACAUAGAUACUAUCUGGCUUGAGUGUGGGAGGGGGAGACGGAAUUCCUGGUGUAGCGGUGAAAUGCGUAGAUAUCAGGAGGAACACCGAUGGCGAAAGCAGUCUCCUGGCCCAAUACUGACACUGAGGUACGAAAGCUAGGGUAGCAAACAGGAUUAGAUACCCUGGUAGUCCUAGCU
Molecule: ribosomal RNA, 693 nt
Filed under: uncultured bacterium
Lineage: Bacteria
Description: bacterial SSU rRNA
Rfam family: Bacterial small subunit ribosomal RNA
Source: RNAcentral